RNAcentral lists this ribosomal RNA (425 nucleotides) under uncultured bacterium. Its description in RNAcentral is "partial 16S ribosomal RNA". It matches the Rfam family "Bacterial small subunit ribosomal RNA", at positions 354 to 796 of the family's 1533-position model. The record is from RNAcentral.
GUGGGGAAUCUUGCGCAAUGGGCGAAAGCCUGACGCAGCCAUGCCGCGUGAAUGAUGAAGGUCUUAGGAUUGUAAAAUUCUUUCACCGGGGACGAUAAUGACGGUACCCGGAGAAGAAGCUCCGGCUAACUACGUGCCAGCAGCCGCGGUAAUACGUAGGGAGCAAGCGUUGUCCGGAUUUAUUGGGCGUAAAGAGCUCGUAGGCGGUUGCGUAAGUCGAGUGUGGAAAAUCUAGGCUUAACACAGUGGAGCACUCGAUACUGCGAUGACUUGAGUCUGGGAGAGGAGUGUGGAAUUCCUGGUGUAGCGGUGAAAUGCGCAGAUAUCAGGAGGAACACCAACGGCGAAGGCAGCACUCUGGGCCAGUACUGACGCUGAGGAGCGAAAGCGUGGGGAGCAAACAGGAUUAGAUACCCUGGUAGUCC